Molecule: unclassified non-coding RNA, 335 nt
Filed under: soil metagenome
Description: partial contains 5.8S ribosomal RNA, internal transcribed spacer 2, and large subunit ribosomal RNA
Rfam family: 5.8S ribosomal RNA (bases 1-120)
Source: RNAcentral
GAUGAAGAACGUAGUGAAAUGCGAUAAGUAGUGUGAAUUGCAGAAUUCAGUGAAUCAUCGAAUCUUUGAACGCACAUUGCGCCCCUUGGUAUUCCAUGGGGCAUGCCUGUUCGAGCGUCAUUUGUACCUUCAAGCUCUGCUUGGUGUUGGGUGUUUGUCUCGCCUCUGCGCGUAGACUCGCCUCAAAACAAUUGGCAGCCGGCGUAUUGAUUUCGGAGCGCAGUACAUCUCGCGCUUUGCACUCAUAACGACGACGUCCAAAAGUACAUUUUUACACUCUUGACCUCGGAUCAGGUAGGGAUACCCGCUGAACUUAAGCAUAUCAAUAAGCGGAG